RNAcentral lists this ribosomal RNA (443 nucleotides) under uncultured bacterium. RNAcentral describes it as "bacterial SSU rRNA". It matches the Rfam family "Bacterial small subunit ribosomal RNA", at positions 330 to 792 of the family's 1533-position model. The record is from RNAcentral.
ACCAGACUCCUACGGGAGGCAGCAGUGGGGAAUAUUGCACAAUGGGGGAAACCCUGAUGCAGCGACGCCGCGUGAAGGAAGAAGUAUUUCGGUAUGUAAACUUCUAUCAGCAGGGAAGAAAAUGACGGUACCUGACUAAGAAGCCCCGGCUAACUACGUGCCAGCAGCCGCGGUAAUACGUAGGGGGCAAGCGUUAUCCGGAUUUACUGGGUGUAAAGGGAGCGUAGGCGGCGAUGCAAGUCAGAAGUGAAAGCCCGGGGCUCAACUCCGGGACUGCUUUUGAAACUGUGUUGCUAGAUUGCAGGAGAGGUAAGUGGAAUUCCUAGUGUAGCGGUGAAAUGCGUAGAUAUUAGGAGGAACACCAGUGGCGAAGGCGGCCUGCUGGACGAUGACUGACGUUGAGGCUCGAAAGCGUGGGGAGCAAACAGGAUUAGAACCCCGUA